CAGGGACCCCCUGCGUCCGCCCCGGCCCCUUCCCCACCUUGCUGAGGUCCUCGAAGAAACUGCCAGCCGCUCUGCGGCCGUAGAUGGAGUUCUAAAAUACAGGAAAAUAAAUAAAAGGAGAUGAGAAUGGAAGCUGAACACAAGGGACCACAUCCAGCACAGUGGAAAAUCAAGAGUUCUGAUGUGAGCACAGCAGGCUCCUGAUGUGAGCACAGAGAUGUCAUCUGCCACCCAGUGAUGUUCAUGGCAGACGCAGUGGAGAGGUCCGGGUCGGAGAUGCUGAACUGGGAGGCGUGCACAAGCCGUGGGAACAAGCCGUGCACAAGCCGCUUAGUGCAGGGGUCACCGAGUCCAGCCACCUCCUGUUUCUGUUGGUUUUGUGCAGACUUGAGUAGUUGCAAGAGACUGUAUGACCUGCAAAGGCAAAAAUAGCCACAAUCCAGCUCUUCGCACAACAACUUCUCUGCCUUUGACUGAGAGUGUGCACAUACAAGAGGUACACGUGCAGGUUCGUUUCUUGGGUAUAUUACAUGAUGCUGAGGUUUGGGGUAAGAAUGAUCCGAUCCCUCAGUUGCAUAAUACAGAAUUGCACCUGUGAUCCCAGCUACUCGGGAGGCUGAGGCAGGAGAAUCACUUGAACCCGGGAGGCGGAGGUUGCAGUGAGCCGAGAUCGCGCCCCUGCACUCCAGCCUGGGCGACAGAGCGAGACUCCAUCUCAGAAAGAAAGAAACAAACAGGGCUCGGCGCAUCGGCUCACGCCUGUAAUCCCAACACUUCGGGAGGCCGAGGUGGGAGAAUCACGAGUAGAGAUGGGGUUUCUCCAUGUUGGCCAGGCUGGUCUCGAACCCCCGACCUCAAGUGAUCCGCCUGCCUCUGCCUCCCAAAGUGUUAGGAUUACAGAUGUGAGCCACCGCGCCCAGUCAUCACCAGGGACAUUUAACUGACAUCUUCAUUCCAUCAUCUGAAGAGGCUCCAAUCUCUGGGCUCAAAAAGUAAGAUCAUAGUCACUGGUAGUCAAAAAAAAAAAACAAAAAAACAAAACAAAACAAAAAAAAACGAACAAGGCUAAGGUCAUAAUUUACUCCAAAGAUUAACCUUUGUUAAAUUAUUUUGUUUCCAUGGAACAAUACUUUGAAUUCCCAUCAUGCAAUGCAAUCUGAAAUGAAUAACUUAGCCCCAACAGUGUUCCAAACUAGAAGCUCUUGAUACCUUAGGAGCUUAACAAAUAAGAGCUUGUGUUCUUGAUAAGAAAAUUUCCUUAUCAAUACAUUAGAAAUUGUUUUCCAAAAUUUAAAGACUCUUAAGAAACAAAUAUAAGUCUCUCAUGAGAUAGACGACGCCGUUGGUUGAUUUAAUGGGUUAAAUCUUGGCUCCUGGGGAUCUCAGCUGCGGGGAGUUGUUUAGUCCUUGGCGGUUAUUCUUACAGUCACUGUGUUUACCUAAUUCCUGCAUUGUAUCCUCUCAAGGGUUUCAACACUUUCCAGCAGCCACUCUAACAUCAAAUGAUUGCCAUCAGGAUUAAACAAUUUACAGAAUUCAAGACCCCACCACCCAGGUCUAGGAUGGUGAUCACCUGUACAUGACUCUUCACUCCAGUGACUAUGCCACUCAGUGGUAAUGGAGAGCAAAGCUCUACCAUCUGGUCAUCCUCUCAGCUUGCCCAGUGGGGAUUUGUUGAAGCAAAAAAAAUUUUUUUUUGAGAUGGAGUCUCGCUCUGUCACCCAGGCUGGAAUGCAGUGGUGCGAUCUCAGCUCACUGCAACCUCUGCCUCCUGGGUUCAGCGAUUCUCCUGCCUCAGCUUCCCGAGUGGCUGGGAUUACAGGUGAGUACCACCACGCCCAGCUAAUUUUUUAGUGGAAAUGGGUUUUCACCAUGUUGGCCAGGCUGGUCUCCAACUCCUGACCUCAGGUGAUCCACCCACCUUGGCCUCCCAAAGUGCUGGGAUUACAGGUGUGAGCCAUUGCACCCGGCCUGUUUAAGUAAAUUAAAAUGGAGACCAGGCCUGAAGAAUCCCUAAGCGGACAAAACAAUUUAGGUCACUUAAGUGACUUCAGCCUUGCUUAAAUUGAAAACAUAAGUGAAACUUAACUUGAGCCUUUUUGUUUGUUUUUCAGUAGAGACAAGGUCUUGCUAUGUUGCCCAGGCUGGUCUCAAAGACUAGUCAUCUGCCCUGCCUCGGCCUCACACCCAAAGUGCUGGGAUUACAGGCAUGAGUCAUUUCUUUUUUUUCUUUGUUGAGACAGAGUCUUCUCUGUUGCCCAGGCUGGAGUGCAAUGGCGCAAUCUUGGCUCACUGCAACUUCUGCCUACCGGGUUCAAGCAGUUCUCCCACCUCAUCCUCCCGAGUAGCUGGGAUUACAGGCACUUGCCAUCAUGCCCAGCUAAUUUUAGUAUUUUUGUAAAGAUGGGGUUUCACUAUGUUGACCAGGCUGGUCUUGAACUCCUGACCUCAGGUGAUCUGCCCACUUUGGCCUCCUACCCAAAGUGCUGGGAUUAUAGGCGUGAGCCACCAUGCCUAGCUGAGUUGUUUCUGAUAAAUGCUUCCAUUAGACAGAGAUAAAUUUUAAUCUACCCAAUCAUAAGUAACCAACUAUCAUGAUUAUAUAACUACUGACUUUCCAACAGGAUAAGCCAAAGAAAGCAAUUCUAUAACUGUAACCAAUCAAAUAAUUUCUUUAUUGUGCUUCUACAUUUUCCCAAUAAAAACUUGCAUUUGU
Molecule: long non-coding RNA, 2716 nt
Organism: Pongo pygmaeus (Bornean orangutan)
Lineage: Eukaryota; Metazoa; Chordata; Mammalia; Primates; Hominidae
Exons: 6
Source: RefSeq, a predicted model, not a curated record